UGGGGAAUAUUGGACAAUGGGCGCAAGCCUGAUCCAGCCAUGCCGCGUGAGUGAUGAAGGCCUUAGGGUUGUAAAGCUCUUUCAGUAGGGAAGAUAAUGACGGUACCUACAGAAGAAGCCCCGGCUAACUUCGUGCCAGCAGCCGCGGUAAUACGAAGGGGGCUAGCGUUGUUCGGAUUUACUGGGCGUAAAGCGCACGUAGGCGGAUUGGUAAGUUAGAGGUGAAAUCCCGAAGCUCAACUUCGGAACUGCCUUUAAUACUGCCAGUCUAGAGUCCGGAAGAGGUGAGUGGAACUCCUAGUGUAGAGGUGGAAUUCGUAGAUAUUAGGAAGAACACCAGUGGCGAAGGCGGCUCACUGGUCCGGUACUGACGCUGAGGUGCGAAAGCGUGGGGAGCAAACA
RNAcentral lists this ribosomal RNA (402 nucleotides) under uncultured bacterium. RNAcentral describes it as "bacterial SSU rRNA". It matches the Rfam family "Bacterial small subunit ribosomal RNA", at positions 355 to 774 of the family's 1533-position model. The record is from RNAcentral.